RNAcentral lists this long non-coding RNA (994 nucleotides) under Androctonus crassicauda. The record is from RNAcentral. Lineage: Eukaryota; Metazoa; Arthropoda; Arachnida; Scorpiones; Buthidae.
UUUUCUUAUGUCUGUUAAAUAAAAUAUUUAAAAAAAUAAAAAAACAAAAAAAAACAAAAACCAAAAAACAAAAACAAAAAAAAACAAACAAACAAAAAACAAAAUAUGGACAAGAAACCGAGAGCACGCAAUAAAAUAAUAAAAAUCCCCAGAGUUAUGAAACGACUCACUCCCGAGUAAAAUUGUGCAGAUUGUUCGGAUGCACCGUUUAAAUUAGGCCUAUUGCACAUAAAUUUAUCAAAGAGAAAGGCAGGAAUGGUAGCAGGAUAUUGCUAUGGCAACGGACAGUUACAUUGUAGUGGGCAAGGGGAAUGAAGAGAUUAUUGUUUAUUUGCAAGAGCGAUUAAAUAGUGGAAGAUACACUGCCAGAUGCCAUCUCAUGUCAUUAAUAACAGAACCGUUAUCGUGCAGUACCUCGUUACGUAGUCAUUGUGCUUUACAACUUUCAUUAAUUGAUCGGUACGAGGUUAUUACGGGGAUAAUUUGACUGGCAAAUUAAUCUCCUGCCUGUUUGAUGAACAAACAGUGGUUCGCGAUGUAGCCACUAGAAGGCGUUUCUGCUCCUUGUAGCGAUAUGUCGAGAAUUUGAACCGAGGCUUAUUUGGUAUUGAAGAGGAUCUCCUAGAAAUAAAAUAGCAAAAUGCAUCAAAAUACAUUUCCCUCUUACUUAAAUACCUUAUUGAAAGGCAAAUUAAAAGAGAAGCCAAAGCCCAUUGGGAAUUUUCACUCCAAGAGUAUUAUCAAUUGCAUCUUCUCCUUCACUGCCAUCAGUGCCACGCAUCUUCUCUUCGGGAGGAAAAAAGGGGAAAAAAAUAUCAGGUUCUUCAGAAAAAAAAAGUAAUCUCGCAUAUGUAUGUAUUUUUUAAAAAUCACACUUCCAUGCAGACAAGAAAAUACAGUAAUUUGCGUUUUUUUGUAGCACUUUUUGCAUUUUAUAUGGAGACAUUAAUCCCGAUGCGCUGCAGUGUAAAAUUGUUAAUCUGGUAUUAUUUAC